This 305-nucleotide ribosomal RNA is filed under the name uncultured bacterium. RNAcentral's name for it is "bacterial SSU rRNA". It matches the Rfam family "Bacterial small subunit ribosomal RNA", at positions 337 to 640 of the family's 1533-position model. The record is from RNAcentral.
UCCUACGGGAGGCAGCAGUGAGGAAUAUUGGUCAAUGGUCGGGAGACUGAACCAGCCAAGCCGCGUGAGGGAUGAAGGUACAGAGUAUCGUAAACCUCUUUUGUCAGGGAACAAAGGCGGGGACGUGUCCCCGGAUGAGUGUACCUGAAGAAAAAGCAUCGGAUAACUCCGUGCCAGCAGCCGCGGUAAUACGGAGGAUGCGAGCGUUAUCCGGAUUUAUUGGGUUUAAAGGGUGCGCAGGCGGUCUGUUAAGUCAGCGGUCAAAGCCCGGGGCUCAACCCCGGCCCGCCGUUGAAACUGGCAGG